RNAcentral lists this long non-coding RNA (3399 nucleotides) under Ananas comosus (pineapple). RNAcentral's name for it is "long non-coding RNA (ACOM_LNC015881)". The record is from RNAcentral. Lineage: Eukaryota; Viridiplantae; Streptophyta; Magnoliopsida; Poales; Bromeliaceae.
AUAUAUGUAUAUAUAUAUAUAUAGAUUGUUUUGACGGAAAGAGCCACAUAUUAUUAACCUAAGCUUGUUAUUGACUUGGGUAUUAUAACGUUUUAAUUAAGUUGUAAAAUUCACUAUACAUGUAACUCCAUAAGGACAAAUUUAGCAGCAUUAUUAAUUGUUGGUGGAAGCUAACAACCAGUAGGUGACUAGAUCAUUCACUAGCAAGAAGCGCCCGAGUUCAAAUUUUAUUACAAUUUUCGACUAGAAUGGAUUAAUUAGACAAUCAAAGACCAACACAUGACAAGUGACUUAAAAAUGAUAUCUCAUUGCCAAAUACAAUAAAUUAGAUAGAACGUAACCAUAUCUUCUUCUAUUCUUUAAUAGUGGUAGGGUCUGUUUUAACCUAUUAAUUUAUACUAAUAAUAGAUAGAACCAAUUAAAUUAAAGAUAUCGAUGAUUAGAAACUACGAAGAAUGUAAUGUAAUUAUGUAAAUCGCAUUACCUCUAAUUGCUUGAGAGCUAGAGGGCAUUCACUGAGAUACUUGACCGCUAACGUGACGAGAACGGGAACCGAGUCCUCAGCAGGAAUCAUCAAAUCGAUCAUAUUAUCCGAGAUCAACUCGUCGGUCAAUAGAUUGCUACUGUCGUUAAUCAACACAUCGAUCGCAUCUCGAGGAGCGCGACUAUUGGUGUUCCUCCUCUUCUCUUGGAUGAUUUUUUGAAUUAACGUAGCCAUCCUCUUCUUUGCCUAUAGGAAUUGAUGAGCAUUACAUAUUUCUAACAUUCUUAAUUAGUAAUACAUCAACAUGAACAAUGCCAUACAAUCUCUACGUGCGUAGGAAUAAAUUAAUGGUGCAUCAUGUUGUCAAUUGAAAGAGUUAGAUUAAAUUAAUUACCUUUAGUGAUCUAUAAAGCCUGCUCCCUGGUACUUUAAUUGGCAAGGACAUCAACCCAGCAAUAAAUUCUUGGAACUGUUGCUUCAGGAAGUCCAUUUCCUUCCCUGGCUCCAACCCAAUCAACCCUUUCACCAGUAUUUGGAACACAAUCUGUUGGGGCAAAAUACGAUUCCACAAAUUAAUUAGCUUAUCAACUCCAUAAAACCAUCAAUAAUCACAUGAACAAAGAUAUAUCUUCGCAUGCAAAAAUUAUUAUCAACAAAACAGCCGGGUCAAGUCAAUUUCAUAAACUAUAAUUUUCACUCCGUAUUUGAGUGUGCGUUGCGCGUAUGACUAUGUUUUUAUUCCACGAAAGGUAAAGGCCCACAAAAUUAAUGGUGAUAACAACGGGUAGGCACAAGCAUCGCCCCGACCCCUUGAAAGCUCAUUGAAUUCAAUCACUGUGGCCGUUCUUAGACCUUCCAUGUGGUGACACAGGUGUGCACGCGUGCAUCCUUAAUGUGUGUCAGAGAAUGAAGCAAAGCUAACAAGAGAGAGAGAGAGAGAGAGAGAGAGAGAGAGAGAGAGAGAGCGAAAAAAAGAACAAAAAAAAGAAAAAAAAAAAAGAAGAAGAAGAAGGGAGAUCGAUUAAUUAAUACGAGUCUAGAUAUUUUGGCCUACUUUAGGGAGUACGAUCCUACUGUGAGUAAAUAUUUUUAUAUGCAAAUAUUAAAGUAAAUUUUCUUUAAAUCCUAUUUCUAAUUUUUGAAACUUUGUAGUUAAUUAACCAAAUAUAUUAUUACAGAAAAAUAUUUAUAUCCGUCGAAUUAUACGUGUACGCAGAAUAAAUUAUUUUUUUGUAUAUUAGUACGAGUUUUACGGCAGUUUUUUAUAUUCUAAUUUUACAUACACCUAUAUAAUUAUGCGUAACCACAAUUUAAUAAUAAUAAUAAAAAGAAAAGGAGGACUAACCAAUUUGGCUUCAUCUUGUAUGCGGACGAGGUGCGGGCGAUGAUGAUCAGGACCGUCCACAGGCCAGCGGGCCAUGGAGGAGGCCACGUAGCGCUGCAUGUCGCUGGUGAUCUGCGCCUUCAGGUGCGGCGACUUGAAGAAGGCGCCGAUCAGGCCGUGCACGCGGCGCUGCAGGCCGCCGUUGAUGAGCAGGAUCGACGACUUCCCCAUCAACUCCGUCAGCGACUUCGGGUACGACGGCACGAACGAUCGCGCGUCGCUCUGCAGCACGAACCGGCUCACCUCCGCGUCCGUCGACACGAUCGUCGGGCUCCCGAAUAUGUGCGACUUGAACACUCUCCCGUACCUUAUUCAAACAGAUUCACAAAUUAACUACCUACCUACCUACCUACCAACCUACGUCUCAAAACUCAAAAAUUACUUAGUUUUAAAUUUUAUUUAACGAAUAAUAAUAAGAUUAAGAAGCGGCUGAAUUCAGAUGUGAUACUAGCUUCAUUAAUUAGAAAGUGGGCGGGAACGAAAGUCGACAAUGGCUCACUUCCGCCACCGCAUUAUCAAUAAUUAAUUUAUUAUAUAUAUUUUUUUUUCUUAAAAAAAGUUGAUAAAAUUAGUUUUUAAUAAUUAUGAUAAAGUAAGUGAAUUUUAAAAAAUAAUUAGUUAGAGACGUCGCGUCUCAUCAAUAGUAAUAUAACUGAUGUAUUCUAAAAAAAGAGAGAGAGGGAGAGGGAGAGGGGAAGGAAGCUCACAAGAGGCGGCGCUUCUCCAUGAAGGUCUCCGGGCACGGAGAGUAGGCGGCGGAGACGAAGUCGAUGGUUUCGCCGACGAAAGGCCACCCGAGAGAGCCUCCGGGGAGUUGGGCUCUUCUCAGCUUCUUCCUUCUCCCGAGCACCCAACUCUUAACAUGAAAGAUCGAUGUUACUCCCACAAUAAUAAUUAUCACUAACACGGCUGCGCACAGCAACAUCAACAACCAAGUGCUCAUAUUGAGAGAGAGAGAGAGAGAGAGAGAGAGAGAGAGAGAGAGAAGAGGAGAAGUAGAGUAGGGAAAUUUUGGUGUUCGAGAAGGCAAAGUACAAAGUAGGAAUUUAAAAGGGGUAGGGGGAGUUCCCCCUCUACAAAUAAAUGGUUGCAUAGUCCCCACCUCACGCGUCUAUGAUUGUAUGGCGCUACAGUACCUUUUCAUUUAUGUUCUAUUUUUCUUUUGUUCAUAUAUUUAUUUUAUUUAUUUUUGUACUUUUCGGAUCGACUCCCUGUAUAUGUAUAGCUACUAGUAAUUAACCGGGUGCGGCACAAUGUACAUACGUACAUAUUUAUAGGCUGGGCCUAUUAUAUUCUUAUACUUUUAUGAGUAUAAAAUUUUUUGUACUCAUAAAUAUUUAAUCGUUGAUUGAUGAAAUAUGUGGUUAGAAUGAUGGUGGUUCCCACGUAGAAUGAUAGUGGUUCCUUGAGUUGAGUGGGUAGUUAAUUGAAUAGUAUGAUCUAACGACUGAAAAUGAUUAUAAAAUAAAUCUAAGAGCCGAAAACUUAUGAGUAUAAGAAUAUAUAUAUAUAUAUAUAUAUAUAUAUAUAU